This 468-nucleotide ribosomal RNA is filed under the name uncultured bacterium. Its description in RNAcentral is "partial 16S ribosomal RNA". It matches the Rfam family "Bacterial small subunit ribosomal RNA", at positions 28 to 507 of the family's 1533-position model. The record is from RNAcentral.
GACGAACGCUGGCGGCGUGCUUAACACAUGCAAGUCGAACGGAAAGGCCCUGCUCUUGUGGGGUGCUCGUGUGGCGAACGGGUGAGUAACACGUGAGUAACCUGUCCUUGACUUUGGGAUAACUUCAGGAAACUGGGGCUAAUACCGGAUAGGAGCUCCUGCUGCAUGGUGGGGGUUGGAAAGUUUCGGCGGUUGGGGAUGGACUCGCGGCUUAUCAGCUUGUUGGUGGGGUAGUGGCUUACCAAGGCUUUGACGGGUAGCCGGCCUGAGAGGGUGACCGGCCACAUUGGGACUGAGAUACGGCCCAGACUCCUACGGGAGGCAGCAGUGGGGAAUAUUGCACAAUAGGCGGAAGCCUGAUGCAGCAACGCCGCGUGCGGGAUGACGGCCUUCGGGUUGUAAACCGCUUUCGCCUGUAACGAAGCGUGAGUGACGGUAAUGAGUAAAGAAGCACCGGCUAACUACGUG